GGGUGAAAUGUGAUGUCAGCAUACAAGUAUGUUACUUUCUUAUAUGUCUAUCCAACAUGAAGAUCAAGCACAAUUUCAAUCCAUUAAAAUUUUGAUUGACAUACCAGAGUUUCAAAAAACAUCCUUGAUGCUUCCUUUCGAGUUUUACCCACUAAUAGAUGGUCCAGAGCAAGAACCUUCCUUCCUUGCACAGGUUCCCUAACAAAUAAAGUUUGCAAAUACUUGGAAACAGCCCUACAACAAAGAGUAUCAGCAAUUGUAAGAAUAAAGCCACUUCCUGAAAAAAUCAAAGCAAGAAGAAAAACGAUCAUCAACUAGUUGCAUUAUUAAAAUUGCAGACAGAACAAAAUUGUCAACCCCAACAUAGGAACUAAUCUAUCCAAUCAUCUUUAACAAGACUAGAGGGAACAUAUAUAACUACAGACCCAGAGGGAACAUAUAUAACUAUUUGAGAUUAAAUACUAACAUGCAAUCAAAAGCAGGUUGAUUUAAGUAGUCUUGUGUUUAAAUCCCCAUCAUAUUAAUCCAAUUACAAAAACUUGUAUUAGUGUUAGUUGUUAUGUUUGUAGUUGUGAUAGUGUUUACUUCGCAUGCCUUGACAUUAAAUACAAUUUUUGGACACUUAACUAUCAGUUGAACCACGGUCAAGUGUUUUUCUGACACUAACAUACAACUUUAUCACUUCUCAAACAAUUAAUAUGACACCAAUUCUAAAGGAGAAAAAGCUCGCUAUGGAGAACGGGAGGGAUGGAGAAUGGGCAAGGGAAGCAAUGAGUGACCAAGAAAUAUUUUUCCAUAUAAAUAUUUUGAACUGGAGAGAGAGAAAGAGAGACCAAACAACAGUGUAGGAAAUAUUCUUCAGUAGUAAUAAUGGUUACUGUCUUUUUUCCCUUUCUAUUUUAAAAAAAAAAAACACACUUUUGCAAUAUGUUACACACUGAGAAAACAAACCAUGCACAUGAAGCAUACACACCUGGUGCGGGAAGACCAUCCACUAUUCUCAAGAACACGAGCAUCCUCAGGACACCCGUCACCAUCAUCAUAAUCUUCAGCUACUUCAUCAUCAUUUACAUUCAAAAAUUCUGGAAAAGACCCACAAAAAAAAGAGUUAAUAAAAAGGGGUGAAAUGUGAUGUCAGCAUACAAGUAUGUUACUUUCUUAUAUGUCUAUCCAACAUGAAGAUCAAGCACAAUUUCAAUCCAUUAAAAUUUUGAUUGACAUACCAGAGUUUCAAAAAACAUCCUUGAUGCUUCCUUUCGAGUUUUACCCACUAAUAGAUGGUCCAGAGCAAGAACCUUCCUUCCUUGCACAGGUUCCCUAACAAAUAAAGUUUGCAAAUACUUGGAAACAGCCCUACAACAAAGAGUAUCAGCAAUUGUAAGAAUAAAGCCACUUCCUGAAAAAAUCAAAGCAAGAAGAAAAACGAUCAUCAACUAGUUGCAUUAUUAAAAUUGCAGACAGAACAAAAUUGUCAACCCCAACAUAGGAACUAAUCUAUCCAAUCAUCU
Molecule: long non-coding RNA, 1508 nt
Filed under: Citrus sinensis (sweet orange)
Lineage: Eukaryota; Viridiplantae; Streptophyta; Magnoliopsida; Sapindales; Rutaceae
Description: long non-coding RNA (CSIN_LNC000641)
Source: RNAcentral